UGUGGGAGGGGGCUUGCUCCCGAUGGCGGUAGCACAUUCAACAGUUAUGUUGACUGAGCGACUGCUAUCGGGAGCAAGCCCCCUCCCACA
This 90-nucleotide unclassified non-coding RNA is filed under the name Pseudomonas palleroniana. The record is from RNAcentral. Lineage: Bacteria; Pseudomonadati; Pseudomonadota; Gammaproteobacteria; Pseudomonadales; Pseudomonadaceae.